GAUCUUGGUCAGGACGAACGCUGGCGGCAUGCCUAACACAUGCAAGUCGAACGGAAGUAGCAAUACUUAGUGGCGAACGGGUGAGUAACACGUGAGCAACCUGCCUUAUACUCAGGGAUAACAGUUGGAAACGACUGCUAAUACCGGAUAAGACCACACUAUGGCAUCAUAGAGGGGUCAAAGUGCUUUAGCGGUAUGAGAUGGGCUCGCGUCCAAUUAGCUAGUUGGUGGGGUAACGGCCCACCAAGGCGACGAUUGGUAGCCGACUUGAGAGAGUGAUCGGCCACACUGGAACUGAGACACGGUCCAGACUCCUACGGGAGGCAGCAGUGGGGAAUAUUGGGCAAUGGAGGAAACUCUUACCCAGCAAUGCCGCGUGAGUGAUGAAGGUCUUUGGAUUGUAAAGCUCUUUGAUUGGGGAAGAAUAAAUGACGGUACCCAAAGAACAAGCCCCGGCUAACUAUGUGCCAGCCGCAGC
RNAcentral lists this ribosomal RNA (478 nucleotides) under uncultured bacterium. RNAcentral describes it as "bacterial SSU rRNA". It matches the Rfam family "Bacterial small subunit ribosomal RNA", at positions 15 to 518 of the family's 1533-position model. The record is from RNAcentral.